AAAUUGUUGAGAACCUUUUUUUUUUUUGUGAGGCUAGGUGCGGCAGAGGAGUUAGGGAGGGCUCACGUCUUUUUUUGUUUUAUUUUUUGUUUUUGUUUUUUUUAAAGAUGCAUAGUUCUUUAAUUUUUUUUUGGUAGAUGAUAUAUAUGGAAUAAGGCACGUUUCUUUCUUCGUUUUUUUUUGGUAUAUAUGGAAUAAGAUACGUUGGUUUUUUUUGUUAAGAUGUUUAGUUUUUUUUUUUUUUUAGAUGGUAUGGAAUAAGAUUUUUAGAUGCGGUUCGUAAGUCGCAUGGAGUAGAUGUCCCACUUUCAACGACUUCGGAAUUUUUUUUGUCGAAGUCAAAAAAGUGGAUUUUAGUUAUAAUCCACUUCAUGGGUUCACUUUUCAAAAGUCACUUAUAUGUUUACUUUUAUAAUCCAAAUAACUGAAAUAAUCCCACUUCGUCAAAAUACCACUUUUAUUGUUUCACUUACGGGCAACCAAACAUGCCCUAAACGAAAGUUGCACUUUUUUAGAGAUAUUUACACUAUUUCUCCUGUUAAACGGUGCAGUUUACACAUCAACACAUCAAAGGAGAAAUAGUGCAACAAGAGGAGAAAUAGUACAACAAGAAAAAAAAUAAUAUAAUAUUUUCUUUUAAAAAGUACAAUAAGAGAAAAAGUAGUGUAAAUAUCUCUCAAAUAGUGUAACUUUCGUUCCAAGAAUGUAACUUUCAUUUUAAAGAUGCAGUUUACAUCUCAAAGAGUGCAAUAAGAGAAUAAAUAGUAUAAAUAUCUCUCAAAGAGUGCAACUUUCGUUUAAAGAGUAUAACUUUCAUCUUAAAUGGUGUAGUUUAUAUUUAAAAGAGUUCAACUUACGUUCAUAAUAGUGCAAUGUUCUUUUAAAAAGUGCAACUUCAUCUUGUUCUUCCUUUUUUUUCUAGUUUUCUUUAUUAUUCUCUACUUUUUUGCCAUUUAGAUUUUUUUUUUUUGUUUUAAACAAACAAAAGCGCUAAUUCAGAGAUGCUCUCUUGCAUUCCU
This 1019-nucleotide long non-coding RNA is filed under the name Ananas comosus (pineapple). Its description in RNAcentral is "long non-coding RNA (ACOM_LNC027818)". Lineage: Eukaryota; Viridiplantae; Streptophyta; Magnoliopsida; Poales; Bromeliaceae. The record is from RNAcentral.